Small nuclear RNA from Ochotona curzoniae (black-lipped pika), 105 nucleotides. NCBI's taxonomy places the organism in Eukaryota, Metazoa, Chordata, Mammalia, Lagomorpha, Ochotonidae. The record is from RefSeq and is a predicted model, not a curated record.
GUGCUUGCUUUAGCAGCACAUAUACUAAAAUUGGAAUGAUAAAGAGAUUGGCAUGGCCACUGAGCAAGAUUAUUGUAGAUAUCUGAAGAAGCAUUAUCAAAUAAA